Molecule: ribosomal RNA, 503 nt
Filed under: uncultured bacterium
Lineage: Bacteria
Description: partial 16S ribosomal RNA
Rfam family: Bacterial small subunit ribosomal RNA
Source: RNAcentral
GAUGAACGCUAGCGAUAGGCCUAACACAUGCAAGUCGAGGGGCAGCAUAGAGUAGCAAUACUUUGAUGGCGAACGGCGCACGGGUGAGUAACACGUAUGCAACCUACCUACAUCAGGGGAAUAACCCGGAGAAAUUCGGACUAAUACCGCAUAAUACAGGGAUGCCGCAUGGCACUAUUUGUUAAAGAUUUAUCGGAUGUAGAUGGGCAUGCGUUCCAUUAGCUAGUUGGUGAGGUAACGGCUCACCAAGGCAACGAUGGAAAGGGGAACUGAGAGGUUUGUCCCCCACACUGGAACUGAGACACGGACCAGACUCCUACGGGAGGCAGCAGUGAGGAAUAUUGGUCAAUGGACGAGAGUCUGAACCAGCCAAAUCGCGUGAAGGAAGACUGCCCUACGGGUUGUAAACUUCUUUUGUACAGGAAUAAAAGACAUUACGUGUAAUGUAUUGCAUGUACUGUACGAAUAAGCAUCGGCUAACUCCGUGCCAGCAGCCGCGGUAA